Molecule: ribosomal RNA, 253 nt
Filed under: uncultured bacterium
Lineage: Bacteria
Description: partial 16S ribosomal RNA
Rfam family: Bacterial small subunit ribosomal RNA
Source: RNAcentral
UACGUAGGCAGCAAGCGUUGUUCGGAGUUACUGGGCGUAAAGGGUGUGUAGGCGGUUGGAUAAGUGUGGUGUGAAAUCUCCCGGCUUAACUGGGAGGGUGCGCUACAAACUGUCUGACUAGAGUGCGGGAUGGGAAAGUGGAAUUCCUGGUGUAGCGGUGAAAUGCGUAGAUAUCAGGAGGAACACCGGUGGUGUAGACGGCUUUCUGGACCGUAACUGACGCUGAAACACGAAAGCGUGGGUAGCAAACAGG